ACUGCUCAUUCAUCUUUUAGAAAGACUUCGCUCUCGCUUGGAACACAUUCUCGGAUGCCUGCCCCUGGACCUGGACUUCUUAGAAUUUACUUGCACACAAGAACUUGUAUUUUUAAAUGCUGUAUCCAGUCAAGUAAUGGUUUCCCCAGCCAUUUUGGAUGCACUGACAGAGCUACACAGUCUCAUCAUUUGGGAAAAAGACACAAGAGGGCAACAUACUGCAGUUGUGCACUUUGAGCAAGGAACAUCUGGGCGACAACAGAUGGUCAUAUCCCCAGACUACCUUUGCAAGCUUCUGGAACUUAAUUUGUCUGUUCCAUGUAGAGCUAAACUGUUGGGGAUGUCCAGACGUACAGUAUACUGACGCAUGGCUGAGUCUGAUCUCUCAGUACGGGCACUCUACAACCCUGUGACAGAUGAGGAGUUGGAUCAGUGUGUAAAUCCAGGCAGCCUAACUCUGGAUAUCGAAUGAUGAAGGCACUCCUGCAAGCUCGAGGAUCAUGAAUCUUGGAGCAGCCUCCUACAACCGCUGGCAUUCUUCCAUGAAUCUGUUGAGAAGUUUGGCUGUCGUCUCAGGAUUGAGCGGCUGUGGAGAGACCUGUGGGCAGCUGUAACGUGCAUCUACUAUGAUGUCCUCCACGACCUUGAAGAAGAGGGCGACCUCAGCAUUGCCAAUGAUACACACAUUUUCUGCUGCCACUUUGUGUUCCUCCCACACUUGCAAGACGACCUGCACAUGUUUCACAGUGGUUGGGACAACCAUCCGCUACAAACAGAGAGCCACAUGACCCCAAACCAACUGUGGGAGUCGCACACAUCACCAGAGAACACAGAGGUACAUCGAAUGUGAUUUGAAUUAAUCAUUUGGUUCACAUUUGAGGUAUUGACUAAGAGCACACAGAAUUUUAACAUGUGCCUGCUGUUACUGCGUGCAGUUAAAUAUGUUCUCUGUUUUUAUGGUGUGGACAUUCCUGACUGGGAAAACAGUGGACUUCCUUUGUGAUGACCUGUUCAGCGUUGUGGUUCCACACAGCGUGCCCACUGACUGAAAGACAUGGUCACUGUUCAGUUUUGUGAGCGGUUUGUGGAUCUCUGAGAAUCAGAAAGACUUCAGAUUUGAAUUUGCCUGUUCAUUUUUUUUGCAGGCAUUCAUUCCAUUCAGUAUCAUCAGUACUCAAAUAGUCCAUUUUAAACACACUUUUUUUGAGUGCAGAGAUUUAUUUUGUUGUUUUAAAGGACCAGAUUAAACUGCAAAACCAGCCUGUACAUUAAGAACCUUCAACUGUCUGACACUGAAAAUAAAACAAGUGUAAACCCAUCUUUUGAUAACUUGAAUAAUUUAACAUGUCAACAUUUUACUAAACUACUGUUAGAGUUUUUCAGAGUUAGACCUGAAAAGUUUACAUACACACAGAAAUGAUCACCCAGGAGAGACUGAAUUUCUUUAUCCUGCAGGAGAGGACGAACGAGAAGCUCCUUCAGAAAGAACUGUCGUCCGUCCUGAAGGACCCUGAGAAACAGAACCAGAUCAAUGACUGGAUGCUGAUAAAGACUAUUAAGAGGAAGAACUGGUCAUCUCCAAGGUGGGAAGGUCCAUUCCAGAUGCUACUGACCACCCCCACUGCCGUGAAAAUUGCAGAAAGGUCAUCUUGGGUGCAUCUAUUCCACUGUAAAAGACAAAGAUACCUGAAAGAUCCCGAGCAAGACAAGGGGAGCGACGUGUAACAGUGUCGGCUGAUGGCCUAUAGGCCCAGUAACAGCUGGAAGCGCAUCACAACAGAGACAGAGAGUGACCAGGAGUGAACAAAGACCAGAGGUUGAAGCAGGUGCCAAGGUCCUGAAGCAGAUGAGAAACCAGCUACAACUGAGGAGAAUCCUGUCCACGUAAUCCAGGAUUAGAAGCAGACGUACUACAGGCUUGAAAUAAGAGCACUGACAUGAUCAGACCAGGAGAAAAGAAGCAGACGAAACUGCAUCUUUGAGAACGGGAGACAAUCCUGUUCUAUCCCUGUGCACCUGUGUUUAAAGA
Molecule: long non-coding RNA, 2029 nt
Organism: Thalassophryne amazonica
Lineage: Eukaryota; Metazoa; Chordata; Actinopteri; Batrachoidiformes; Batrachoididae
Exons: 4
Source: RefSeq, a predicted model, not a curated record